Molecule: transfer RNA, 68 nt
Filed under: Empis trigramma
Lineage: Eukaryota; Metazoa; Arthropoda; Insecta; Diptera; Empididae
Description: tRNA-Phe
Source: RNAcentral
GUUUAAAUAGCUUAUAUUUUAGAGUAUGACAUUGAAGCUGUUAUGGAGAUUAUUAUUAUCUUUAAACA